CAUACCUUAUAAUAAAAAAUACAUUAACGAAAGUUAAUAUAAUAUUUUAUAAAUAUAAUCUAAGGAUUAAAGUGGGGAAAACCUCACGUUUUAAGAUUGAUCAAUGCCUGAUUAGUUAGUUGGUUUUUGAGUUAAAAGCUCACCAAGACAUUUAUCAGUAGCUAUUCUUUACGGAUGUAUAGCCACACUGGGAUUGAGAUAAGGCCCAGACUCCUACGGGAGGCAGCAGUGGGGAAUAUUGGACAAUGAGCGAAAGCUUGAUCCAGCGAUGUCACGUGUGUGAUGAAGGGAAACUGUAAAACACUUUUUUUUAAGAAUAAGAAAUUUUAACUAAUAAUUGAAAUUUUUGAAUUUAUUAAAAGAAUAAGUACCGGCUAAUCACGUGCCAGCAGCCGCGGUAAUACGUGGGGUGCAAGCGUUAAUCAGAAUUACUUGGCGUAAAGUGUACUAGGGUGGUUUAAAAAGUUUUAUAUUAAUUUUUAGUUUAUUUUAAUAAUAUAUAAAUUACUAUUAAACUUGAGUAUAGUAUAAGAAAAUAGAAUUUUGUGUGUAACAGUGAAAUGUGUUGAUAUACAAAGGAAUACCGAAGGCGAAGGCAAUUUUCUGAACUAUUACUGACACUUAUGUACGAAAGCGUGGGUAGCGAACAGGAUUAGAUA
This 659-nucleotide ribosomal RNA is filed under the name Candidatus Nasuia deltocephalincola. Its description in RNAcentral is "bacterial SSU rRNA". It matches the Rfam family "Bacterial small subunit ribosomal RNA", at positions 125 to 784 of the family's 1533-position model. Lineage: Bacteria; Pseudomonadati; Pseudomonadota; Betaproteobacteria. The record is from RNAcentral.